GAACAUUUAUCCAUCUUGAUUGAUUUCUUCGAUCGCCACCACCCAGUUCAGUUCUCCGUCAGUUUCUCCCGUCUCCGCCGCGCUUGCCCCGCCCGAAUCUGUCGGCAACUUUUCACGUCGUUUUACAGGUGGCGGCAAGGUUUUUCGCGACCAGAAAUUCGCGACACAAUGGGCAGGCGCAACAGCUGCACGAUUUAUGUAGGCAAUCUCCCUGGGGACAUUCGUGAGAGGGAGGUUGAGGAUCUCUUUUACAAGUAUGGCCGUAUUGUCGAUAUUGACUUGAAGAUUCCUCCAAGGCCUCCUGGUUACGCUUUUGUUGAGUUUGAGGAUCCCCGUGAUGCUGAUGAUGCAAUUUAUGGCCGCGAUGGGUAUGACUUUGAUGGCUACAGGCUGCGGGUGGAAUUAGCUCAUGGUGGAAGAGCUCAAUCUUACUCGUACGAUCGCCCAAGCAGCUUUAGCAAUGGACGCCGUGGAGGUGUUUCUAGGCGCUCUGAGUUCCGAGUUAUGGUUGAUGGUUUACCUUCGUCAGCGUCAUGGCAAGAUCUCAAGGACCAUAUGCGACGGGCUGGCGAUGUCUGUUUUUCUGAUGUAUACCGCGAGGGCGGAGCAACCGUUGGAGUUGUGGAUUAUACAAACUACGAUGACAUGAAAUAUGCGAUUAGGAAGCUCGAUGAUACAGAGUUCAGAAAUGCAUUUUCAAGGGCAUAUAUCAGGGUGAGGGAGUAUGAUGCUAGAUCAAGAAGCAGGAGCCGUAGCCUCUCUUACUCAAGAAGUCGCAGCUAUAGCAGAUCUGUCUCUCGAUCACCCUUACCUAUGGAUGAAAGAUCUGGCCAUGCGGCGAUCUGGGGACUGCUUCCAUAGAAAAUUGGAUGCGUUGAGUUCAACAUGAUGGUUUGGAACUAUGGAUAGUAGAGCUGGAUUAUCAGCAUGUAUGGCCAGUGAGCAACAAGUCCUAGGAGCAAGAUGGUCCUGAUAGUAAGGAUAUGUGGAGUGGGUCUUGUGAGGUUGGCAUUAACAACUGGAUAGAGAAGGAUGAAGGGCAAUGGUUUUAUGGGGCAAGUGUACAUGCAAAGAGGUUGGCAUGACAAAUGUGGAUGUAUGUCUUGGUUACUUUCUAUGUUCAGUUUCAUAUUCAGUAGUCACAUCUGAUGGUAGGUAUAAAGAGCCAAAUGCAUAAAUAUGCACUGUGAUAUCGCUCUCGUAUAAUCUACUUAGGCUGUUAUAUUCCAUAGAGGAUGGGUAUGGUUGUCAGAUUGGUUUUGGUGUUAAUUUUGGAUUACGCAACACUUCUGAGUAAUGAACUUGGUUUCUGAAACAUUUUGCAGGUCACCAUCAAGAUCUCGGUCUCCUGUUUCAUUGGUUUCUGGAAAAUCCGUGAGCAGAAGCCCUCGGAGCAGGAGCUUAUCCCGCUCUGCAUCUCCUGUGAGGUCGGAUUGAUAUUGGGCGCACCUGGAAGCAGCGAGUGACUACUUCAGGAUUGCAAGUAUUCAUCGUAGGUGGUCGCAUAUGUUCUAUCAUGUCCUGCAUAACGCUAUGUUUGCGAGACUGGAGCAUUGCGCUUAUCAUGAUGCCUGUCUGUCUACUUGUUAUGUGCUCUGUUCUCAGAUUUAGAGCUGUACUUGUAUAUUCAGGGGAGACCUGUACCUUUUCUUGAAUGACUUGGAGAUUGAUCUGCAGUUUGUGGUAACUUGAAUUAAGAGGAGACCUGUACUUUGUGGUAAUGUGUUAUGUUGUCACAUUA
This is an RNA transcript of Triticum dicoccoides, 1741 nucleotides long. It is a transcript of the gene named serine/arginine-rich-splicing factor SR34-like, with no coding region annotated. Lineage: Eukaryota; Viridiplantae; Streptophyta; Magnoliopsida; Poales; Poaceae. The record is from RefSeq and is a predicted model, not a curated record. The transcript has 15 exons.